GCAAGUCGAGCGGAGCGAGGGUGCUUGCACCUUAGCUUAGCGGCGGACGGGUGAGUAAUGCUUAGGAAUCUGCCUAUUAGUGGGGGACAACAUUCCGAAAGGGAUGCUAAUACCGCAUACGCCCUACGGGGGAAAGCAGGGGAUCUUCGGACCUUGCGCUAAUAGAUGAGCCUAAGUCGGAUUAGCUAGUUGGUGGGGUAAAGGCCUACCAAGGCGACGAUCUGUAGCGGGUCUGAGAGGAUGAUCCGCCACACUGGGACUGAGACACGGCCCAGACUCCUACGGGAGGCAGCAGUGGGGAAUAUUGGACAAUGGGGGGAACCCUGAUCCAGCCAUGCCGCGUGUGUGAAGAAGGCCUUUUGGUUGUAAAGCACUUUAAGCGAGGAGGAGGCGCUCUAGGCUAAUACCCUAGAUGCGUGGACGUUACUCGCAGAAUAAGCACCGGCUAACUCUGUGCCAGCAGCCGCGGUAAUACAGAGGGUGCGAGCGUUAAUCGGAUUUACUGGGCGUAAAGCGCGCGUAGGUGGCUAAUUAAGUCAAAUGUGAAAUCCCCGAGCUUAACUUGGGAAUUGCAUUCGAUACUGGUUAGCUAGAGUAUGGGAGAGGGAUGGUAGAAUUCCAGGUGUAGCGGUGAAAUGCGUAGAGAUCUGGAGGAAUACCCGAUGGCGAAGGCAGCCAUCUGGCCUAAUACUGACACUGAGGUGCGAAAGCAUGGGGAGCAAACAGGAUUAGAUACCCUGGUAGUCCAUGCCGUAGACGAUGUCUACUAGCCGUUGGGGCCUUUGAGGCUUUAGUGGCGCAGCUAACGCGAUAAGUAGACCGCCUGGGGAGUACGGUCGCAAGACUAAAACUCAAAUGAAUUGACGGGGGCCCGCACAAGCGGUGGAGCAUGUGGUUUAAUUCGAUGCAACGCGAAGAACCUUACCUGGCCUUG
RNAcentral lists this ribosomal RNA (934 nucleotides) under Acinetobacter sp. MU02. Its description in RNAcentral is "bacterial SSU rRNA". It matches the Rfam family "Bacterial small subunit ribosomal RNA", at positions 57 to 983 of the family's 1533-position model. Lineage: Bacteria; Pseudomonadati; Pseudomonadota; Gammaproteobacteria; Moraxellales; Moraxellaceae. The record is from RNAcentral.